GAUGAAGAACGUAGCGAAAUGCGAUAAGUAGUGUGAAUUGCAGAAUUCAGUGAAUCAUCGAAUCUUUGAACGCACAUUGCGCCCCUUGGUAUCCCAAGGGGCAUGCCUGUUCGAGCGUCAUUUCACCACUCAAGCCUGGCUUGGUGUUGGGCGACGUCCCCUUUGGGGACGCGCCUCGAAACGCUCGGCGGCGUGGCACCGGCUUUAAGCGUAGCAGAAUCUUUCGCUUUGGAAGUCGGGGCCCCGUCUGCCGGAAGACCUACUCGCAAGGUUGACCUCGGAUCAGGCAGGGAUACCCGCUGAACUUAAGCAUAUCAAUAAGCGGAGGA
Molecule: unclassified non-coding RNA, 329 nt
Filed under: soil metagenome
Description: partial contains 5.8S ribosomal RNA, internal transcribed spacer 2, and large subunit ribosomal RNA
Rfam family: 5.8S ribosomal RNA (bases 1-120)
Source: RNAcentral